GGCUCAGGAUGAACGCAGCGACAGGCCUAACACAUGCAAGUCAGGGGCAGCACAAGGAGCAAUCUGAGGUGGCGACCGGCGCACGGGUGAGUAACACGUAUGCAACCUGCCUGUAAGCGGGGAAUAACCCGUUGAAAGACGGACUAAUACCGCAUAAUACUAAAUUACUAGCAUGGUAAUUUAUUUAAACAUUUAUGGCUUACAGAUGGGCAUGCGCAUGAUUAGCUAGUUGGAGAGGUAACGGCUCCCCAAGGCAACGAUCAUUAGGGGUUCUGAGAGGAAGGUCCCCCACACUGGUACUGAGACACGGACCAGACUCCUACGGGAGGCAGCAGUGAGGAAUAUUGGUCAAUGGACGAGAGUCUGAACCAGCCAAGUCGCGUGCAGGAAGAAUGUCCUAUGGAUUGUAAACUGCUUUUGCAGGGGAAUAAAGUGCAUCACGUGUGAUGUUUUGUAUGUACUCUGCGAAUAAGGAUCGGCUAACUCCGUGCCAGCCGCGGC
RNAcentral lists this ribosomal RNA (501 nucleotides) under uncultured bacterium. RNAcentral describes it as "bacterial SSU rRNA". It matches the Rfam family "Bacterial small subunit ribosomal RNA", at positions 21 to 518 of the family's 1533-position model. The record is from RNAcentral.